GGCCCCAUCGACUAGCGGUUAGGUCACCGGCCUUUCAAGCCGGCGGCGGGGGUUCGAGUCCCCCUGGGGUCACCA
RNAcentral lists this transfer RNA (75 nucleotides) under Thermus thermophilus. Its description in RNAcentral is "tRNA-Glu(ttc)". It matches the Rfam family "tRNA". From Rfam's summary of the family: Transfer RNA (tRNA) molecules are approximately 80 nucleotides in length. The record is from RNAcentral. RNAcentral also lists the same sequence under 7 other names. Lineage: Bacteria; Thermotogati; Deinococcota; Deinococci; Thermales; Thermaceae.